UACGUAGGGUGCAAGCGUUGUCCGGAAUUAUUGGGCGUAAAGAGCUCGUAGGCGGUUUGUCGCGUCGAAUGUGAAAACCCGGGGCUCAACCCCGGGCCUGCAUUCGAUACAGGCAGACUAGAGUUCGGUAGGGGAGUCUGGAAUUCCUGGUGUAGCGGUGAAAUGCGCAGAUAUCAGGAGGAACACCGGUGGCGAAGGCGGGACUCUGGGCCGAUACUGACGCUGAGGAGCGAAAGCGUGGGGAGCAAAUAGG
This 253-nucleotide ribosomal RNA is filed under the name uncultured bacterium. RNAcentral describes it as "partial 16S ribosomal RNA". It matches the Rfam family "Bacterial small subunit ribosomal RNA", at positions 524 to 776 of the family's 1533-position model. The record is from RNAcentral.